GCGGAUGUAGCUCAGUGGUAGAGCGCAACCUUGCCAAGGUUGAUGUCGUGGGUUCGAGUCCCAUCAUCCGCU
RNAcentral lists this transfer RNA (72 nucleotides) under Akkermansia muciniphila. RNAcentral's name for it is "tRNA-Gly". It matches the Rfam family "tRNA". Rfam says of the family: Transfer RNA (tRNA) molecules are approximately 80 nucleotides in length. Their secondary structure includes four short double-helical elements and three loops (D, anti-codon, and T loops). Lineage: Bacteria; Pseudomonadati; Verrucomicrobiota; Verrucomicrobiia; Verrucomicrobiales; Akkermansiaceae. RNAcentral also lists the same sequence under 2 other names. The record is from RNAcentral.